CGGCCGGCGGUCCUCGUGCGGCGGCGGUAUAGGAGCGAGCGCCACGGCGAGCAGGUCCAGCCGAGAGCUACCGCCGUCCGCCGCUCGCUGCCUCCGCACCGCCGCCGCCCCCGGCCUGCCCGUCAGCAAGCGGGUGAGCGGCCUCCACGCUCGGCCUCCGGGAGGGGGCCGUCCGGCCGGACCCUGAGCCUCGCCCUCUCUCGCUGCGGCCGACCGCGCCUCCUCGGCCGCCUGCCCGGCAUGAAGACCAAGUUCUGCAACGGGGGCGAGGCGGAGCCCUCGCCGCUCGGGCUGCUGCUGAGCUGCGGCAGCGGCAGCGCGGCCCCGGGGCCCGGCGUGGGGCAGCAGCGCGACGCCGCCAGUGACCCGGAGCCCAAGCAGCUGGGCGGGCGGCAGCCGCCGCUCGCGCUGCCCCCGCCGCCGCCGCCGCCGCUGCCGCUGCCCCCGCCGCCGCCGCCGCCGGCGGACGAGCAGCCCGAGCCCCGGACGCGGCGCAGGGCCUAUCUGUGGUGCAAGGAGUUCCUGCCCGGCGCCUGGCGGGGCCUCCGCGAGGACCAGUUCCACAUCAGUGUCAUCAGAGGUGGCCUCAGUAACAUGCUGUUCCAGUGCUCCCUACCCGACACUCUGGCCACCGUUGGUGACGAGCCUCGGAAAGUGCUCCUGCGGCUGUACGGGGCGAUUUUAAAGAUGAGGUCCUGUAAUAAGGAGGGAUCCGAACAAGCUCAGAAAGAAAAUGAAUUUCAAGGCGCCGAGGCCAUGGUUCUGGAGAGCGUCAUGUUCGCCAUCCUCGCGGAGAGGUCGCUGGGGCCGAAGCUCUUCGGCAUCUUCCCCCAAGGCCGCCUGGAGCAGUUCAUCCCGAGCCGGCGGCUAGAAACCGAGGAGCUGAGUCUGCCGGAUAUUUCUGCAGAAAUAGCCGAGAAAAUGGCACGGUUUCAUGGCAUGAAGAUGCCGUUCAAUAAGGAACCAAAGUGGCUUUUUGGAACAAUGGAAAAGUACCUGAACCAAGUACUGAGGAUUAAGUUUCCCGGGGAGUCCAAAGCCAAGCCGCUCCGCAGGUUCCUCAGUUACAAUCUGCCAUUGGAGCUGGAACGCCUGCGGUCGUUACUUGAAUCCACUCCAUCGCCAGUCGUGUUUUGUCACAACGACUGUCAGGAAGGCAAUAUCCUGCUGCUGGAAGGCAGGGAGAACUCCGAGAAGCAGAAACUCAUGCUCAUCGACUUCGAGUACAGCAGCUACAACUACAGGGGAUUCGACAUUGGGAACCAUUUCUGCGAAUGGAUGUACGACUAUAACUACGAGAAGUACCCUUUCUUCAGAGCCAACAUGCUGAAGUACCCGUCCAGGAAGCAGCAGACAGACGUCGUCUUGUGGGCACCGCAGUUCAGUAGCUGUUGCCGCGUAACACCCGGUUUCCCGCCCUGAGCUGCGGCAGUCUCCCCCGAGGACCCCCCUCCAGGCCUUGGGUUGAGGAUAAGGAGGCAGCGAUGCAGAAGCAGCUCCAUUUUAUUUCCAAUUACUUGGCCGCAUUCCAACACGAGUCUGAAGACCCCAGCGACGAGGAGAGGUCCGCGAUCGAAGAAGGCAUGUUGCUUGAGGUCAACAGGUUUGCCCUUGCGUCCCAUUUCUUCUGGGGACUUUGGUCCAUCGUACAGGCCAAGAUUUCAUCCAUUGAAUUUGGGUACAUGGAGUACGCCCAAGCCAGGUUCGAGGCCUAUUUCGACCAGAAGAGGAAGCUGGGGGUGUGACCUGGGAGGCCUCGUGCCCCUCCCCCCUGGACUGCGUGGGGGCGGCUGAGCCUGCGGGGUCGCUCUGUGCUCCGACUACUGCACCUGCGGCAAGAAGGCUCGGACGUCUCGCCGCCCACACAGAUGUGUGCGCGACCAAGCCUGUAUUAAAUGAAGUAACAAUUAUUUCCUGUCUUGUGUGCGGCUUCACUAGGACCCUGGCACGAAUCGGGAAGCAGAGUCAGAGCACACUAGUGCAGUAGUGCAACAGCUCAGACUCCUCACCCAGAGGAGGCGCUCCUGGGUCGGGCAGACCUGGCAGACGGCAGGAGCGGAGUCGUGCUGCAGGUGCCUCGUCUGCUUGAGGACCGUUCAAGGACUUGAACGAACGUGCAGGCGAACGCCACUGACCAGGCUCUCCGGGUGUAGACGCCGCUCGCCCCCGCAGGCAGGCGGCGAGGGGCACACAGACUGACGCUGCUCCGCGGCCUUCCGGGGUCCCCCGCAGCUGCUCGCUCUCCUCGGUCGGGGGCGGAUGCAGACCGCCGGCGGUGCGGGCGCCACUGCCGCCUGCGCGGGAGGGAUGGACGCGGCUCUUCAGCGCUUGUCUCUCUGUUCCGUUAUGCGGGCGACUCGCCUCAGCUGGACGCAAGCCCUGCCUGCCCUCCAGCGGGAUGUGCUCUAUAACCCCGCCUUCGAGGCAGGCAGCGCCCUGGGGCGCGUGGACUCCUGCCCCUGUGCCACCUGCAUUCCUUCCGCUUUGUCCUGCUCUCUGCAGCCUCCCCUCCACCUCUGCUCAGCCCGGAGCAGGGGGUCCUGUGACAGCGCUGGCGGCCCGCCCCGGGACAUCAGCCCGCCCCAGGGCCCCUCAGAAGCCUCCCGCUGCCCCUGGCGCUGGGGCCCUGGUGUGCCCGGCAGCCCUGGUGGCCAGCUGUCGCUGCCCUCGCCACUCCCUGAGGUCCCGCACGUGGUCAUAUGGCAAACGGCAGCCUGGAUGUGGACCGUGGGGUCUGGGUGGGGGGUAACUGUGAAAUCCAUGUUCCGUGAAUGCUCUCCUUUCCUUUUUUUUACUUAUUUGAAUUGUUUUCUGUGCAUACAUUUCUGCUACCACAGACUGUACUAUAUAAACAAUAAAAAAAUAAAAGCCCAUCCUUGCUGUCA
RNA transcript from Sus scrofa (pig), 2885 nucleotides. It is a transcript of the gene named choline kinase alpha, with no coding region annotated. The record is from RefSeq and is a predicted model, not a curated record. NCBI's taxonomy places the organism in Eukaryota, Metazoa, Chordata, Mammalia, Artiodactyla, Suidae.